Molecule: ribosomal RNA, 459 nt
Filed under: uncultured bacterium
Lineage: Bacteria
Description: bacterial SSU rRNA
Rfam family: Bacterial small subunit ribosomal RNA
Source: RNAcentral
AGAGUUUGAUCCUGGCUCAGAUUGAACGCUGGCGGCAUGCUUUACACAUGCAAGUCGAACGGCAGCAUGACCUAGCUUGCUAGGUUGAUGGCGAGUGGCGAACGGGUGAGUAAUACAUCGGAACGUACCCAAUAGUGGGGGAUAACGCAGCGAAAGCUGUGCUAAUACCGCAUACGUCCUACGGGAGAAAGCGGGGGAUCUUCGGACCUCGCGCUAAUGGAGCGGCCGAUGUCAGAUUAGCUAGUUGGUGGGGUAAAGGCCCACCAAGGCGACGAUCUGUAGCUGGUCUGAGAGGAUGAUCAGCCACACUGGGACUGAGACACGGCCCAGACUCCUACGGGAGGCAGCAGUGGGGAAUUUUGGACAAUGGGGGCAACCCUGAUCCAGCCAUGCCGCGUGAGUGAAGAAGGCCUUCGGGUUGUAAAGCUCUUUCGCAAGGGAAGAAAACUUAGCCACUAA